AAUUAGAUUCAUAUGUAUAUUUUUUCUUUUAAAAUUAAUCUAGAGGAGAAGAGAUUUUAAAAGAAAAAUAAUUUUUUUUAAAAAAAAUCUAUUCCGUACGGAUGCUACAAUCGCAUCGGUACGAUCGCUACAAUUUUUUUUUUUUUUUGCUAGUUUGCUUGAAAACAAGAAACCGUCGAUUAAGUUGUUUAAUCAAUUCGAACUUUUCGAAUUAAUCAAAACGAUCUAUAAAUCGUUCUACCGGCGAAAAAUAGUUUAGAAUACCUAAAUUCAUAAUUUUAAUCUUAAAAACAUGAGGAUUGCUCUGAUACCACUGUUAGAAAAUUGCGUACGGUAAAACGUAGCGGAAAAAGAAAUCAAACAAAUUUGAUUUUUGAAAACUCUCGAGAUCCAAGCUAAAAAAUCACGCAAUUAGGAUCCCUCAUGUUCUUCUUUAAGAUUAAAGGAGAAAAGUAAGAUCGAAUCUUUACCUUUUUCGUGGAUAGAUCUUCACUUCAAUUUGAUGAUCGUAGAAUUCUAUUUUCUUGAAGCCGCACACGCGUCCGACCUCUAUAGGUAUCCACACAAGGUUCUUGAUUUGAUCAUGUCCUAACCGGGGUGCUAGCUCCCUUGCAAAAGGACGUCUAUUUGCUAGAAGAUGGAAGAGAGAGGAGAAAAGAGAUGACGGCUAGGAUUUUCCAAAAACUCUCGUAUUGUUAUAUAGAGGAAUAUAAUCCUCUUUUAAUAAUAUAAUAACCAUUAAGGAUAAAUACAAAUCUAGAUUCAAAUUUAUCCUUUCCUUAAUUAGUUAGAUCAAUCAAAUCCUAAUUUGAUUCGACUUGAACUUAAUAUUAAUUUGAUCUUAUCAAAUUAAUAAUGUAAUAUUUGCACAUAAGUCCUCUUAUAAUUUACUAACUAUUAGUAAGUCCUCUCUUGUAACAUUUACACUUUAAUACCACUAAUUUGUAAUAAUUACAAAUUAGUCCAAUUAUCAACAUAUUGACAAUUAGGUCCUCCGACGAUUCAAUAAUCGCGAUCUAGCUAUCCGAUCAAUCAUAACCUCUUAUGUGUGUGACCACAUAGGUUCUAUUCUAUCUGGUAGUGAGAUAUAUUUUGAUCACUAUCAACAAUAUCACUGAAACUCCUUUCAGUGGAUCGGAACAAUUCCAACUCAGCCCAAUGAGAAUUAUCGAUCAUCUAGAUAAUUCUCAUGAGUCUCACAAUCCACCAGUGACGCCUAGCAGCAUGUAGUGGCAUUCCAGUAGAAUGGAAUACUGAACCUCUUGGUACAGUUACCGUGUGAUACAAUCCUUCUAUCAUGAGUCCCGACUAGACGGAGGUUAUGGAAUAACUCGUCAAACCCCAUCGUCUGUCAUAUGUUAAAUUUAUUCGACUCGAGUUUCUAAUAUCGGAAACCCUUUUCCGCUAUUUAUUCUGCCCUGGCCAAGGUCUUCUAAACUCGGUCUCAUAAAUCACAUAGGACUAACACCCCUAUCUACCAAGGGAGAUAGAUUCCAUCUAAGUGCGCACCCUAUUCCUACAAUGAACCUACUGCAGCCAACAUGCACCGCAAGGACCCGAAUGGCUAGGGACCAAGUGUAUGUACAGUCAAACUACAGUAACCUCAUUGUGAAUAGCCGAGGCACCGCAGGUCAAAGGACCAGUCACACUACUGCAACAAUUGAGUAAGUCACUGACGAGUGAGUAGACAUCCAAGUGACUUCUCGCGUUGGUCACGCUCGGUACCCUUGUUCUCUAACAACCACCUGCAUAUUCGCUUCAGUGUCCCCACACUGUCGACUCGAGACUCGUCUAUCCAGAAAGGGAAGUGACCUAUGCACCAAUCUCACCGAAUCAAUCACCAUCCCCGUGAUGAUCCAUUGAUCGGGAGUAUUUAGAAAUUAACCAUCAAUGACACAUGUCUCAAAUUCUCAAUACUUGAGAAUAUAUGUCAUCAUAUUAUUAAUUCCUUGGACGAUUCAUGGACACAUACACAACAUGAAUGGAAAUAAAAAUCCGAAGUUAUUCAUAAUAUUUAAAAGUCAAAUACAAAUUUAUGUCCUAGAAAGAAUACAUGUGUCGGCCUGGUUGGCUUCUAGGGCAUACAUCUAGCAUCGGUGUAUGGUGUUCCUUUCGACGACGAAGGGUUACUUAGUGUGUAUGUCGAGGUUGAGAUCUCCAGGGGAGAUUCAAUUACUGAGGCGAUUCGAUGUUGGGGUGUAGUAUACUGAAUUUUAGCAAAUUGCGAAGUUCAAACAAGGGGAAUGAUAUUUGGAACCUCCCUACAUGUUUUAAAGAGUUUAAAGAUGUUUACGGACAAGUUUGGAAGUGAUCGGAUUGUCGGAGACAAGAAAAUGCAUUGCCAUUUCGAGUUUGGCAUUUUAUGCAUUGGUGUACUGGUACAAAUAUAAUGCUGUACCGGUACAACAAGCAGCAGAGUCAGCAGGUGCGUGGCAGCAGGGGUCAUUUGGUCUUUUGGGCUCUUGUGCUUAUCCUCUUAAGUCUUAGCUCGACUUCUGAAGCUACCCAAGAGUGCUGGGAGUUCAGGAGUAGGGUUUGGCUUCUCUCUCACUCCCUCUCUCUCUAGGAAUUUCUCUCUCUACUAGGAAUCAAGGGUUUAAGCUUGAUUCUCUUCUUUGCUUGUUGGUUACUGGCAAGAAGUGGUUUGGAGCUGCUGUGGAAGAAAGAAGAAGGAGUUUUAAAGAGUAUUUCGCAACCUUGAACAUUGUUCUUGCAGGAUGAGGCUUUGGAGAGGUAAAUUACUUAUUUACUAUCUAGUUUGAGGCAUAAUAAUAGAGCUAAGUAAGAUUUGGUCCUUGCUGCCAGCCGAGGUUGGGAGAGGUUCCAGCAGCUAGAGGAGAGUUUUUUUACUGUAAUUCCUCUAUAAUAGAGUAGGGAAGAAGGGAAGUAAGGGUUGAGAAAGGUAAUUAGUUAAUUAAUUACUCUUUUGUUGAGGCAAUAUAGUGAGGAAUUAUGCUGAUUUUGGUUCUUGUUGGCAGCAGCUACCGAGAUCUCCUAGAGUUGAUUAUUCAACCCUAGUGAGCUAAUUCUGGAAAUUCUUAAGCAUCAGGAAAUGAGACUUCAAGUUAAGAAGCUGAACAAGGGAGAUUUUCAGCUAGAUUAAAUAGUUUAAAAGAAUAUAAAAGCUGUUUUUGAACUAAUUGACAGCAGGCUUGCAACAGGAUAUUAAGUGAGACUCGGCUGAGUAUUGGGAGCUUUCGGAGGCUGAAUUAAGUGCCUCAACUUGAACCUAAACCGAGGUUCAACCUAUAGCCUUGUACAAGGUAAGAAUGUAGUUGAAUUUUGAUGUUUGAUACCAGUUUCAAUGUAGUUUGACGAGAUAAUUCACAGCUGUAGUGUAGCAGGUUGGGGGAUCAUUUGGAGCUGAUUUUAGUAAUAGUUAUGGGUUAAUUAAAGUAUUCCAACCAAAGUGGAAGUGAAGGAUCAACUCUGGUACGAACUUAAGUGAGAUUUUUGCUGAAAUAAGAUGCUUAGAUAAUAGUUCAAUGCAGUUUUUAUAACUAGUGCGCAGCAGGUGCGAGGAUCGUUGUGGACUAAACUUGACACCUUGUUUGGGCUGAUUUAAACUAAGUUGGAGGUGCUUCAACCUAAAAUAAAGGAAAGCUUAACUUUAAGUUAAGAUAAGGUAAGAAUUGGUCCAUUUUAUGUAAAGUUCUAUUAUCGAUAUAGAACUUCUGCUCAUAGCUGAUUUUGGAAUUGAUAUUAGGGGACUUAAAAGCUUCGGAUUUCCUUUGAAAGGGAGUUCAACAGGGACCAUCGAAGUAUAGGUGGGUCUGACCUUUCCGAAAUGGGUGAAUUCCCUCUAUAUCUCCUUUGACAUUAUGAGUGGAAGUUAUUACAUAUUUAUGAAUAUAUGUAUAGUGCGAGGAAUUGAAACAUGCGUAAAUGUGUAGAUCAUAUCGGAUAUGAUGGCAUAUCUAAACAAUAAGGAAAGACUUAUGACUUGCUUAUUUCAAUAAUCACUUAUUUGAUUAUUAUGCAUUCAUAGUAUUAAUGAUUUGUAUAAGCAAGUUAAGCUUGAGGUCAUUUAAAAGGAUAUAACUGUUACAGCGUGAAUAUACCAUUUAGCUCAGUUGAACAGCAAAGGAAGUGAUGUAUUUUGAAUUACGCUAGGUAAUGUUAUAUUUUAAGCAUGAUGGCUAUACUUGAACCUGUUGUGCAGAUGAAUUGGCUUGAGUAUACAUUCAUAGUAUAGAAUGAACUGUAUAGAGAUUAUGUGAAAAGUAUUUCAUCGAUUAUUUUGCCACUUAUAUUAAGUAGCUGGUUUCUACCUUCAUCUGAUAGAUUGGCUAGAGUUUCACUUGAUGAUAUGAACUAGUCAGGUAAUUAGAAUUUAGUAUUAUGACAUAACAUGAAUGUUAUACAACUGAAUGUAAUCUAGUCGAUUCAAUAGCUAGAUUUGGAUAUGAUAUCAUACUUGUAUAAUCAAGUAGAUGUAAUUGCAUAGCAUUUGUUCUCUCCAAGUAGUGGAGGUUUAUAUUGAACUACAGAAUAUGUGCCAUGAGUCUUUGAGUAUCACUUUAGUAAAUCACUUCCCUUAUGUGUAAGGAGUAGUGAGAGGACUAUGAGUGAGUGACCAUGUGUAGCCUGAUAGAAUCACUAGUACGAUGUAAAACUUAAACUUAUUAAGUUAUACUAGCUAUUGAUAGUGAAUUGUGUCAACAAGUAGUUGAUAGCAAUUUAUGAUUUGGUACUACAGUGUCGACCUUGGGUCGAGUUGAGAUCCCAUGAUGUCGUUGUGAUAUUGUACCUGUUAGAAAAUUGCGUACGGUAAAACGCAGCGAAAAAAGAAAUCAAACAAAUUUGAUUUUGAAAAACUCUCGAGAUCUAAUCUCAAAAACCACGCAAUUAGGAUCCCUCAUGUUCUUUAAGAUUAAAGGAGAAAAGUAAGAUCGAAUCAUUACCUUUUUCGCGGAUAAAUUCUUGCCUCAAUUUGAUGAUCGUGGAAUCGGGUUCUCUUGAAGCCGCACACGCGUCCGGCCUCUAUAGGUAUCCACACGAGGUUCUUGAUUUGAUCGAUGUCCUCACCGGGGUGCUAGCUCCCUUGCAAAAGA
RNAcentral lists this long non-coding RNA (5054 nucleotides) under Ananas comosus (pineapple). RNAcentral describes it as "long non-coding RNA (ACOM_LNC042988)". Lineage: Eukaryota; Viridiplantae; Streptophyta; Magnoliopsida; Poales; Bromeliaceae. The record is from RNAcentral.